Molecule: ribosomal RNA, 320 nt
Filed under: uncultured soil bacterium
Lineage: Bacteria
Description: bacterial SSU rRNA
Rfam family: Bacterial small subunit ribosomal RNA
Source: RNAcentral
AGAGUGAACGCUGGCGGUAGGCCUAACACAUGCAAGUCGAACGGCAGCACAGUAGGAGCUUGCUCUUACGGGUGGCGAGUGGCGGACGGGUGAGGAAUACAUCGGAAUCUACCUUUUGGUGGGGGAUAACGUAGGGAAACUUACGCUAAUACCGCAUACGCCCUUCGGGGGAAAGCCGGGGACCAGCAAUGGCCUGGUGCUGAUAGAUGAGCCGAUGUCGGAUUAGCUAGUUGGUGAGGUAAUGGCUCACCAAGGCGACGAUCCGUAGCUGGUCUGAGAGGAUGAUCAGCCACACUGGAACUGAGACACGGUCCAAGACU